ACGAAAGGUCCGAGCGUUGUUCGGAAUCAUUGGGCGUAAAGCGCACGUAGGCGGAUUGGUGUGUCGAUUGUGAAAGCCCAGGGCUUAACCCUGGAAUUGCAGUCGAAACUGCCAAUCUUGAAUACUUGAUAGGGUGGGAGAAUUCCUGGUGGAGCAGUGAAAUGCGUAGAGAUCAGGAGGAAUACCGGAGGCGAAGGCGCCUGCCUGGCAAGAUAUUGACGCUGAGGUGCGAAAGCGUGGGGAGCAAACAGG
Molecule: ribosomal RNA, 252 nt
Filed under: uncultured bacterium
Lineage: Bacteria
Description: partial 16S ribosomal RNA
Rfam family: Bacterial small subunit ribosomal RNA
Source: RNAcentral